This 351-nucleotide RNase P RNA is filed under the name Spirochaetales bacterium. RNAcentral describes it as "RNase P RNA component class A". It matches the Rfam family "Bacterial RNase P class A". Rfam says of the family: Ribonuclease P (RNase P) is a ubiquitous endoribonuclease, found in archaea, bacteria and eukarya as well as chloroplasts and mitochondria. Its best characterised activity is the generation of mature 5'-ends of tRNAs by cleaving the 5'-leader elements of precursor-tRNAs. The record is from RNAcentral. Lineage: Bacteria; Pseudomonadati; Spirochaetota; Spirochaetia; Spirochaetales.
CGAGUGAGUUGAGUGAUCGCUUGUUUUAAACAAGAGGAAAGUCCGGACUCCUAAGGGAAAUGGUGCUGGGUAACGCCCAGGUGUCGCGAGGCAACGGAAAGUGCCACAGAAAAUAACCGCCAUUAAUACUCAUAUGAUAUUAAUGGUAAGGGUGAAAAGGUAGUGUAAGAGACUACCGCAAGAUUUGGCGACAAAUCUUGGCAAGGCAAACCCCACUUGGAGAAAGAUCAAGUAUAGAAGCUGGUAUCCCUUCCACAUGCUUCGGGGUAGAUCGCUUGAGAUAAUAAGUAAUUAUUAUCCUAGAUAGAUGGUCACAUAAAACAGAAUUCGGCUUACUAACUCACUCGUUUA